Molecule: ribosomal RNA, 235 nt
Filed under: uncultured bacterium
Lineage: Bacteria
Description: partial 16S ribosomal RNA
Rfam family: Bacterial small subunit ribosomal RNA
Source: RNAcentral
CGGACGGGUGAGUAACGCGUGGGUAACCUACCCUGUACACACAGAUAACAUACCGAAAGGUAUGCUAAUACGGGAUAAUAUAUUUGAGAGGCAUCUCUUGAAUAUCAAAGGUGAGCCGGUACAGGAUGGACCCGCGUCUGAUUAGCUAGUUGGUAAGGUAACGGCUUACCAAGGCGACGAUCAGUAGCCGACCUGAGAGGGUGAUCGGCCACACUGGAACUGAGACACGGUCCAG